AGUGGGAGUUGCAUGGCAAUAUAUCUCGGAAUGGGUAUGAAAAUGCCAUAGUAGGUAGGUAUGGUGACUGUUUUGAGGAAGGCAUAUGGUGGGUUUGUGUACCGGCGGAAGUUGCGCGGCACUAGAGAGGCUAGCAAAGGUGGAAGGUGAAAGUGCAUAUAUACCAUGGCCUCACAUUAGUCAUGAAGAACUCACAUACUUGUUGCGAACGUUUUUGUUAG
RNAcentral lists this long non-coding RNA (221 nucleotides) under Hordeum vulgare. Its description in RNAcentral is "long non-coding RNA (HVUL_LNC014202)". The record is from RNAcentral. Lineage: Eukaryota; Viridiplantae; Streptophyta; Magnoliopsida; Poales; Poaceae.